RNAcentral lists this ribosomal RNA (110 nucleotides) under Betta splendens (Siamese fighting fish). Lineage: Eukaryota; Metazoa; Chordata; Actinopteri; Anabantiformes; Osphronemidae. The record is from RNAcentral.
GCUUACGGCCAUACCACCCUGAGCACGCUCUGAUGUCGGAAGCUAAGCAGGGUCGGGCCUGGUUGGUACUUGGAUGGGAGACCGCCUGGGAAUACCAGGUGCUGUAAGCU